This 17907-nucleotide long non-coding RNA is filed under the name Lynx pardinus (Iberian lynx). Lineage: Eukaryota; Metazoa; Chordata; Mammalia; Carnivora; Felidae. The record is from RNAcentral.
CCUCUCCUUGCCUUACCUUCAGCACCGAGGAGUUUCCGGUCCCGGUACAGAUCAGUGAGGAAGAGGCUAUUGACAAGAGUGGAUUUCCCCAGUCCAGACUCUCCUGACAGGCGAGAGAGGACAGAAGAUAAGAUCUAUAGCCAAAAGGCAACCCCACCAGAACAAGGUGUGUAGAGAGCUGCUUUUUCAUCAAAUUGGGAAGAGACCAACUGCACCAUAGCGUUUUAGAGCGAGAAGGAAGCAGAGAAAACAGCUUGUCUAGCCUUCUUAUUUGAAUGAGGCUCAGUGAGGAUAAGAGGUUGCCCAAGGUCACACAGAACAAGGCAAAUACUAGAAAACUGUUGGUCAGGUGUUCUUUGUACCAUUUCAACCCGCCUCCCCCCAACACACACAUACACACUUUUGGCCACCCAUGGCUCCUGGCUACUUUGCAAAACUGCAUGGCUGCUGGCUGCUUCUUCCUUCCUUACCUAUACCUCCUCCCCAAAUACAUACCAGCCCCACCUGAAACACCCCCUGCCUAGCCCAGCCCUUCCCCAGCUCUACCUGCCACCAUGAGGGUAAAGUCAAAGCCUUUCUUCACAGACUUUCGGUGAACUUGAUUGGGGAGGGUCGCAAAGCCCACAUACUCCUUGUCAUCCUAAUGGACAGGAAGGCAGAGUGUGUCAGAGUGAGAGGCAGGAGGGGUCCCAGGACCCAACACCUUCUCCCUCCCUCCUAGGUCUUUGCCCCAGCCCUAGAGGAAUGGUGUCAAACUCCCUUGAGGCCCCAUCUGGGGCCACCAGCAGGGCUCCUGCCCCUGCUGAUAGUCAGUUUCCAAUGCACCUGGGGGCCAACACCGCAGAACUGGUGCUGACACUAGACAGGAGAGGCCCCAGCUCAACAUGCAUGCAUGCAUAUGUGCACACCUAUACACACACAUGCACAUACAUGCACAGACACUCGGGAUCUCUCUGCUCCCUCCCUGGGUCUUCCAGCACCAGCCCACUGAAAGGCAAAGACAGGGCUGGAGGCUCUACCUCAGAGGAGUCAUAGGGAUCAAGCUUGCCCCAUGGGCUGCGGGGUCGGGCUGAGGGGCUGAGAGGGGCUGAGGCAGAGAAGUACUGCUGGCUGUCAGAGGGCUGGGGCCACGAGGGGCCUUUGAACUCCAGGUCAUCCUGGUAGAGGUCCGGGGCCUGGGGCUUUGGCUCCAGAACUUGGGGCCUGGACACCCAGGUCUUGGCCUCUGGUUGGUGGCAGCUCUCGCUUCCUGGGAAAUCCUUCACGAACUUGUUCAGUUCUGUGUCAUCCGUGGCCUCCAGGAAGCGCUUGAUCUGGGGGUUGGAGGGGAGGUGGUGGGAGGAUGGGGGGGAGUGGGUAGGUGGCAUGAAGGGAAGAAUGAAGGAGGAAGUCCAGAGAAGGUGAGAGGGAGAGAGAGGAAAGUGAUUGUGGUUAGAAGGGAAAAGAAACUGCACUAGCAGCCAAGCCAGAGGAAGUGCUCACCAUUCCUCCCUCACCUGCUCAUGUGCCUCCCCAGCCGAGAUGCCAGGAAAGACCCUGGAGUCCUGGAGCAGCCCUAGGCAGCCCCCAGUUGUUGCAGGCAGCAACUGUUCUUGGGAUCAGAGAAGCUCCAGUCCUGAUGUUCCCUCUUGACAGGGUGCCUGCUGCCCUGCCCUUCCUGGGGGGUCUGGCCAAGCCAGAGGCCAGUGAAUGCCCUAAAGGCCAGGAAGUCAGACUGAAUAAGGGGGAGCAACAGAGGCAUUAGAACUGAGACGAGGAUGCGGGCUCAGGAUCCAAGGACAGUGCAGAGAGUCAGUCAGAAUGGGACAGGGGCAGGAGGGAAGUAGGGAGGGGAGAAGGGACCUGCCAGCCCCAGGUAAAUCAAGAGCCAGCAGAGAGCCCUGUGCCUCCUGUCACUGCAGGUCAGUGAGCUCUGGGAGGGAGAUGCAGACUCUACUGGGGGUGCUCACUCUCCAGGGCUCACUGCCCGGAGCUCAGUACAGUUGAUCUGACACCUCUGUCCCUUAUUCCAGACACUGUGCCACACCAGAGCCUGAGGGUAGGCCCCAGGAGACUAGGGCAAACCCACCAGUGGAUGCUGAGUGCAGGGUAGAAGGGAGCUGGAAGGGACCCAGUGAGGGAGGAUGGGAGGACACUAGGCUGCUGACAGCCCCUACCUGUGAGGGACACAUAGGAGACAGCACCCAUCGGUUGUCUUUUGCCCCCUCUGCCUGGAGUAAGAUUCAGCUAGCCACGCAGGAAGGGAUCUGGCCCCAGUGGUGAACCACAGUGGGGUGGACAAACAAUGACUGGCUCUGUGUAGAGACCUGUUCCACCCCAUCUCCCAACCUGGAAGAGAGGCCACUUCCCCCCACUCCUGCCACCAACUCUAGACCCUAAAACUUCCUCUCUCCUUUGGGGGCCAGUCCCCUUUGUGGAGUGCCUGGCAGUGCUGGGCUCAGCUCUGCCUCACAAUACCCACAUGCCACCUCCAGACAAUGGACAAGGGCUGGCUUCAGAGGCUGACUCACUCCCUGGGGAUUGGCCAAGCCAGUGGGGGCUAUCCCGGACCACUGUGGAGACCCGGCCAGGGUGGAGGGAGAGAAGAUGGCCACAGUCUUCUGCAGGUCCCCUUUUUACAAAGGGAAGAAUUGAAGGAGGCAGACAUACACAUUGCCAGGUUUAUGCUAGAGGGAAGUGAUUUAGAGGCUACAGGGAAAAGUCCCCUAAGAACUACUUCUAGGCUGUCACCUCUCAAGUCCCCACACCUGCUUAUAGCCAUCAUCUCCAAGGCUUGCCUGGACAGAGGGGAGGAAAGAGGCCCUUUAGACUGAAACUGGAACCAGCAUGUGGGGGCUUAGUGACCAAAAGAGGGUGUCCUGAAGCAAGCCUGACCUAACAGGCUCUUCUCAGCAAAAGUAUUUAUGGGAUCCCAUGGAGCAACCGUACAUCUCAGUUUGUUUGUUGUUGCAGCAUAAUGAUUAAUUGUGCCCCUUUUGACUCUCAAAAGUGUCCCGGCUUGGACAAUUAAUUAUAUGCAACAGAGAAGAGAUGGGACUGAGGAGGGUGGGGUCCCACAGGUCCUGUUUUCUGGCAGCUAGAGUCUGGGGAAUUCCAGGAAAUCCCGCCUCUCUGCAUGACCCCACAGUGACCCAGCAGUUGGUCAGGGUGGAAGAAAGAAGACUGUGUUCCACCUGGUUUCCCCAGGAGCACUGAGCAGAGGGGCAGCAGUUAAAAGAGAAAGGAAGGCCCUGAUUGGGACCCCUACCAUCCAGUCUUCCAAAAGUCACCAGGAACCCAGCAUCAUUCUCCCUGCCAGUCCUGGCUACUUGUCAGCAGGAAGCGGCCCACAGAGGCCCUAGACAAGGCGUCAGGCACUAGGCUCCUCCUCACCUGCUGCCUGUCCUUCCCCACCCCCAGCUCCCAGGGUAGCACCUUACCCCAGGGACAGAACCUCAGGGACAGAACUACCUUGCCAUCCCAGUGAAUGGUCCAUGUCCCUCCCACACUUCAGAUACCCUGUCGGCAAGCUCUAGGUCUAAUUUUAUCCCCCAGGAAAAGUUGCUCACACACGGAAACAACCUGGUCUCAAUGCUCUUGUAAUCCAGCUUCCUGGCUUGCUCCUUUCCCUUUCUCUUUGGCCCCCCCCUCCCCCCUCCCUGUCUCUGUCAGGGGCCAAAACAGCUUGUGGAAUGUCGUUCCCCACCCCAUCCUCCUCCCUUUCCCUUGGCUCCCACCCUCCAAGGACAGCUCGGCUGCAGCAGGAUCACUCUGUCUCUCUGCAGUCCCCUCCAACUCUGAUUGGCUGUCUCAUGACGCCUGCCCUCUGCCUACCCCGGUGGGCACAGCACCAGCCUCCCGAGUCUGUCUGCAGCACAGGCUCUUGAUCCACCUGGCCUGUUAACCCCCAAGGGCACCGAGGCCUGCCAGAGGGUCAUGAGCUGUCCCCAAGGUGACCUGGCCCAUCAGUACACGGGGACAGCCACCCAGGAGACUCCACUGUCAAAGGACUCCAAUCUCUUUCACCUUAACUUUAAGCAGUGCUGAAGUAGGGUGGGAUGUCCUAUAAUCCCCUAGAAAUAUGUUCUCAUGAGAACAGCCCUGCUUUUCUUCCUAAGCGUCCCUUUGUGUUUUCCAGCAGAGAACCCCAGUCUCUUCAGACAUCUGCCCCUAGAUUUCCCUGCAGAGUCCCAGCCACAAAAGGACUCCUCCCACCCUAGGAUACCUGACCUCUGACUCAUGGGGACCCAUAUCACUUCCAUCACCCCACUGCUUCUAGAGAGUCAAUGGAAGAGCUGCUAGCACUCGUUCUCUGAGAGACCAAAGGGAGGCUGGCAUCCCAGAGGCUUCAGAGUUGCCAAUUAGGUGGGAGACAAACUGAAGGGCUUGGCUGGAAGGGUGCAGAUGGAGCACCUGACUGGGAAUCAGGAGGCCAGUGUUUCUGGUUUGUCCAGAAACCUUUGUGAUUUUGAAUAUUGUCUUAAUUUCAGGCCUCUAAUGUCCAGUUGUGAAUGGCCCUUCCUUGCCUCCCAGGAAGGCUGGGGAGAGAUAACUCAAGCUGUUUUGAAGCUGAGGAGAGAGAGUGUACAUCUCAAGUCACAGGACUGUUAUUAAUGUUGGCCUAUCAUUCUUUUCCCAUGCAAACUAAAACCCCCUGGGGAGGUUUCCAGGGGAGGCUGGGGAGCUCUCCCCACUGUACCCACUGACCUCCAUAGUGGCUGGGACACUGAUCUCCUUUCACAGAGAGACCUCUUAUAGAGAAGUCUGGCUUGACAUAAAUCAGUCAGCCUAAGAACUCGGCCUAAGAGGCCUAAAGCUGAGGACUGUGGUGAUGGUGGGGAUGUCUUUUAAUUAGAGGGUGGCUUCAGCCAAGUUGAAAGCACCAAGACCUCAGCUGAACUGAACUUAGUGUGUGGCAGAAAAGCCCCUCUUGGUCCCUGCUGGGCUUGGCAAUGGGGACAGUCAGUUCUCCCCAGGCUUCUAUCACUGGAACAAUCAGUGUGACGGUACCCAUGUGGAGGGAAGUGGGGCAGGGAUAAAGACCAGUACCACUUGGCCUCUCCCAGGAACCCCCUCUGGGGAAGGUCACAGAGUCACCAAGACUUCCUAGCCAAAGCUUGGGCCUCAGCCUGGACACAGCUUGAAAGACAAAAGCCCAAAAGGUUGGCCUUUCCAGACCUGGAAGCUUCUGAUUCCAUGGGGCCCAGGGAGUUCCCUUCUGGAGGCUGCCCACAGCCAACAUCCUGCCCCACAGGCUGGUCAUGGAUCUCCUCCUAUUGUAAACAGCCUGUGCCUCCUAAUGCAGUGGGCAAAUGUUGGGGGGCCUCCAACCUGGGAGGAGAGGCUGGCAUGGGGCCUGGAGGCAUUGACACCCAGCAUAAUGUGUUUGUGGCAGGCUCUGGCAAGGAUGGCAGAAGAGCUGGCACCCUUACAGUCAGACAUCAAAACUUCCUACCUGGGGGUAUCCAGGAGGCUGACUGGGGUUAGUAUCUCUCCUUCCAGUACAGGCGGGUGGCAGGAAUGAGUUCCCCCACCCCCACCACUGCAGAGGGACCUGGUUUGGGGUAGUGUAGGAUGCAGCAGGAGGAAGCUUCCCCAUGGGUCCUGUCUCAGAGGCAGUGAUGUAUAGAUGAUCCCAAGGGUAGGAUGGUAGGCUAGGCUUCCCUCUCUCAGGGGUCCCUGGGCAGAGGGCGCUGUGGGAAGAGCCAGGAGAUGCCCUUUGCCAGGCUGCGGGAAGGAGGGCCCAAGCGUCUCACCAUCCCUCUCCGGGAGGCAGGCAGUGUUUGUAGGCCUCCUCUGUGUGUCUUCCCAAGGAAGUUGGUGCUGCCCCUGAGCCCAGGGUAGGUGGGUGAGGAGGGGUCAUCCAGGUAACAGCUGACUCAGGAAAGGGCGGGGGACCCUCACCUCCGCGUGUCGCUGACGCGCCUUCCCCAGCCUAACACGCGCGUCUCUGCCGGCGGGCCCCCCCACCUCCCGUCAGCACCGACCCACUCCCCGGUCCCAAAACGCGGACAGCACCCCAGCCCUCGGGGGCCGCUCCGCCGUUGCUCGGAUCAGAGCGAGAAACUUGGAAGCGGCGACGCAACGCCGUCCACCACCAGCAGCCAGAGACAGCGCCUCCCGCCCGGCACAGCCGGGGCUGCUGCGCCGCUGGUCCCCGCGGAGCCGCUGGGAGCAGCGGGCCCUGCGCGCCCCGGCCCUGCCCCGCGCCCGCGCGCCUUACCAUGGCUGCAGCCCGGGCCGGGCCAGCUCCGCAGGGACAGCGUCCGAGCGACCCGCGGCCGGAGCUGCGAGCCGACCUCGAGGGACCGCCGGCCCCCGCCCGCCGCCCAGAGUGCGGACCGGCCGGGGGCGGGGCCGGGGGCGGGGCGAGUCGGCCCUGGGGCGGGGCCUGCCCUCUGAGGCGCGGACGCCUGCAAAGCUGAAGGCGGCCGCGGGCGGCUGGCUGCGGGGAGAGGCGGGCCUUGCAGCCCGUGACCCCCCCUGAUGAGCAGAGGCGCUCAGGACAGCGCAGCACUGCUCACCUGGGUCUUCCUUACUCAGCCCGUAAUAGUAGCCUCUUCAGGCAGCGCAUCACCGUGGGGGCUUGAGAAAAUCCCCCAAGAAAAGGGAAAGGCCAACCUAGCAUCCCUAGGAGAGGUCUUUCGAAGGAGAGGGGUUUGCCCCACGAGUCGGGAGAGACUCCAUUAGUUACCGAAGGUUUUCAGGAAAUGAACCCAACUGAUGUCCAAGUUAACUGAUUGUCCCUACCCCCUCUACACCUCCUAAGGUAGAAUGUCAGACUUUCUCUACCUUUACCCAAGCUAUGAAGAAGAGACAAAAUGUUCCCUUCCUGCAGGACCCUAGAUUAAAGAUUAAAGAGGAUUUGCUGCAUAAAUUAUCCAGGGAUCAUCUGCUGGAAAGGUGGAAGGGAAGAGGCUGAGUGGCCUUUAUGGGGCAGUAGAGUCUUGUCUGGGGCUGAGGGAAGCGGGAAGUGGCAGCCCAGGUGUGAGCCAGUCUAUGCUGGGCAAGCAGGUGAGAUGCUGUGGGGACAGAUGCCUCAGCAGCUUUAGAAGCAUUAGAGGCUCAGAAGGGUCAGCAGCAGCAAGGAAGAAGUAGAUGCUUAGAGGGUGGGGGUUGGUGAGGAUUUUCCGAGCUAAUACAGGGCUGAGCUGGUCAGGCUUCUGUGAAAGUUUCCAGAAGUAUGCCUCUUCCUGACUCCCACAAACUCUCCUCCAGGGCAUGCUGAUUUGCCUGAAUACACUUUGAAUAAAACAGGUCCACAGACAUGGCCCUCUCUAUUGGUAGAACACCCAGAAGCCUGCCUACUCUAUUUCAGUCUGAUCUGUGACCAGUGGUCAUGGUUGGGAUCAAGUUAGAACUUAGCAGAGGGACGGAGGGGGGCCUAGGUAUACAGAUGAGAACACGUUCAGAAAACAUGGGAUGGCUAUUGGAGACGUUAUUAGAUAUUUGGCACUGGUGGACUGAAGGACGGAAGGAGUGCCAUUGCUUAAAGAAAUCAGGGGCAUUCACGGGCUAGCAAGUUGAGGAGGAACCUUCCUAGCUGGGUGACCUUGGGCAACUCACUUUACCUCUCUGGACUUCAGUUCCCACACCAGAAAAUGAGGGGAUUAAACUAGGAUAUCGCCAGCAGCUUGGCUCAGAUAAGAGGGAGCCUCUGAAUGUAUAGAGAGUUUCCUGGAAAAGGCCUGGGGUAGAUGAAGAGAUCUGAAGCUGUACUCAGGAAAACAAAGACAUGAAAGAGUUUCUUUAGAGAGAAACCAAUGGCUAUUGGAAGGCUACAGAAGUAGCAGCAGCUGCUGCCGUCAGACCCGAACAUCAAACUCACUACACAAAGCCCCACUGUUGGGAACUAGCUAUAGGCCACUAACACUCACGUAUGCACUCAUAAGACUGCUUCUUGAGUGCUUCCACUGGCAUUCUGCAUGGCCUGGGCUGGGAGUGCUGGGCCGAGGGGAGAAAACCUAUGUCAAGGAAGACAGGCCCCAUCACAAACAAACCCUUGUUUUCCGCCAAGUGUACUUCCCUCCUCCCCCCAGUCCUGGUUGUAGUCCAAGUGUGGACACAGACACGUCUCAGAAGGCAGCCCAGCUAGCUCAUCCUCAGCUGUGGCUGGAAUCCCAACUCUGCUCUGGCACCAGCUGCCCUGGCCCCCAGCAAGCCCUGUGUGUCCUGAGGCAUGUUGGUGCCAGCUUGUUUUGAGGGAAGUGAGCCCCAAAGAGAGGCCUGGGACUGUGGAACUCAUCUCUACACCAAGACUCUUAGGGUCUUGAUGCUCACCAGUGUCUUUGUAAUCACUACAUCAGCUGCCCAACAUGAGGCAUGUUGGGUGAAGUAAAAGCUAAAGACAGACUUUGAGCCAUUCCAUCUACAUAAAUCUCGCAUACUAACUCUGAAGCACUGUGAGUUUCUGAGAGAACUUGGCCUUGGCUUAGGACCCCAUACCAGCUUUGGCAAUUAGCUCACUGCCUGAAUAUCCCUUCUCCUUCAUGGGCCUCUUUUUCCCCCACUGAGAGAGAACUGGACUCCCCCCAACUCCAGCUCUUGUGUUCUGUGAUGGUGCAGGUAGCGUCUGACACCUGGUCAGAAGCAGGGCCAAAAUAUAGCUGCCCUUGUAUGAGUCACUGACCACUGAGUGCUCCUCCCCAUCUCCAGUUAGCAUGUGGACUGGCCAACCUUGCCUCAGGUACCCCUCAGUCCUUAGAGUCUGACUCUUCCUUGAAAUUCAACAUCCCACCAGGAAAUGAUAUCCUUGACUAGAGUACAAUUUCCCCAUGCACUGCUGGAGUGGGGAUUUCAAGCCAAGGGUCUGGGGAAUGAACACUUUGUUUGGCACAAGGGAUGACUCUUCUGGGAACUCAGAUCAGCACACACCUCCAGUCUGCUAUCAGGAGGUCCCUCUGCUUAGGUCAGGCUAGCAUGGUCUAUGUGGAAAAACUCCUGGCCCCCUCCAUUGGAUCUUUCCUGCCUACCCAUGGGUGAAGGUUGUGUGGCACCAAACUAAAUAAGGAUGCUGUACUUGGGCAAAGUCAAGGUCCAGGUUCAAAAGCCAAGAAUAAAGAGUGAUUAUCACAGGAAAUCAGGAUUUCGGAUCUGCAUGACUAGCAAAGGCCACUUUUGCCUCUCAGUAGCAGAGUUUUCUUAAGUGGCACAAGAACUAAUUGUAUCUCCCUUCCCCCAGAGGUGAUGAGUCACUGAUGAUAUAGUCAGAGAGCUCUGGUAGGGGCAAAGAACUAUUACCGGGUUGUGUCUUUCAAGGAAACCUUAGCCAGCCUGUCCAGAAAGUUCUGUGCAAAGGCAAGAAACCAAAAUACCCUCAACCUCACUCCCACCCCUAAUGUUCCCCAGUGUCUCAUGAUCCUGGAUCAGGCAUGAAAUGUGGGUGGUAAUGUCAGGGAGCACUGUUUCCUGGCACCUGUUGUCUAGCUGUGGUAAGAGGCAGUUCUGGAGCCAGUAGAGUGCCAGAGGCCUGCCAGAGGCCUGCCAGAGGACCUUUCCAACACCUUCUCUGCAGUAGGGCAGGGCACAGGAGCUGAGAGAUGGAAGAGACUUACAUAUGCAUUGGUGUGUGACCCCUUCAAGAGCCCCCACCCUACAUCCCAUCUUCUUAAAAGUUUCCCACGACUAAAAACUGACUCUACUGCCCUUCAAUCUUUGGGCAGUGUGUUAUCAAAGGUCUUCAUUACCUGGAGUUGAAACCUGUGUGUACCUGGACUUUACCCUCCAAGUGCCUCCAUGCUAGAAGCUUUGCUAACUCAUUUCACUGGACUUUGUUUUGUUCUUUGAUGUCCACACUCUUUCAAGUGACCCAUCUAUAGACUUUUCUCUUCCAAACUAACCAUAAGCCCCUCAAGGACAGCGAGUAUGAUCUCUACUCACUUCAAUUCAGUGAACAUGUGAUAUAAUGUCCUCCUGGAUGCCCAGGACUCUGCCCCCAGGAGGUGUCUGAUCAAUAUGAAUUGACUGAAAGGAUUCAUUGAUUAGUUUUCCACUCUGAUUUUGGAGCACAGACAAGCCUUGAGGCUCUGGGCCUCACUGACCCAUCCAUAACUUGCCCUUCAUUCUGGCUGCUUGCCAGCUCAUACUUCAUCUCCCAGCCUUGUAAUUUCCAUGCAAAGACACAAAUGUUACCCUCACUAAAACCUUUCCCUUCAUAUUUUGUGAUAUCUGAAGGUGCUGCUGAAAUAUUGAUAAGUUACUUUCCAGGAAGAUGUGGCUAUGGAAGAAGGGUUUCUACACCACAUAUGAAUCCCUGGGGCAGGGUGCUCCCUAAAAUACUCUCAGUCUUGAGGAGCCAGCUCUGCAAAAUGGGGAGCAAAAGUUCACUUCAUAAGGUUGCCGUGAAGAUUCACUAAGGUAACACACUUAGAAUGGUGCAGGCACUAAAAUGAGUGGUAGCUACUAUCUCAGCUAAUGAGAAAAUUAUCAACACCAAAUCAGCAACUAUCACUGUGACCAUUUCAAAUGCUUUCUCUACAAACAAUUAGGAAUGUGCAUGUGUAAUAGUAUAGAGGGAUGGGAAAAGAGCCCUUGACUAAAGUGACAUUGGAAUGACCAUGCUGCCACCAACUGUAGAGUCAGCUUCUCCAGCUGAACCCCACGCCAUCUCUAGAAAACUAGUCUUGGUUUCAGACUUACUGAGCUGAAUUCCCAAAAACAGCCAUCAUAGAGACUCCUGGAGCUAAAUGACUUUGCCUGUGGUGGGUGUGCCAAGGAAAUGACUUUGGCCCUGCCCUCCCACCUUCAGCGUCAGAGCCUGAGCUUCUCUCAGGAGCUGCCUCACAUUCUGUCCCCUUCCUUCAAGCGCGCACUUGGCCCCCAAGGUGCAGCUGUCUCUGGCCUCUCCCCUCAUGGCAGCUGGGCCAAAGGCAGCUGAGCAGAAGAGGGUAAAGGGACAUGGUCAUUUUGUCACUCAGGAUAACCUUCCUCUGGCUGAGCAGCUGUCAGGGUGGCUUCUGUGUUACAGAUUUUCUUCCUCGCCCAAGUAUGCUUCCUUGCUCUCUGAGACCAAGCUCCCUAAUCUAUCCAGUCCUGCUAUUUCUCCUCUUACUUGAAAACCCCACCAUUUCAAACACCACCAAACCUCUCUGAUAGAAAGAUAGAAUGUUGGAGAUGGGUUCCAAGCAGGGAACCAAGUAACUUCUGGAAAUACACCAGAAAGUCCAAAAUAAAUGUGGCAGGUUCUUCCCUAUGUGGGAUCAUUCUGAGAAGAGUAAAAAACUAAAGGAUUCUGGCCUCAGUUCUACCAUCGACCACAAGGGAGGGGCAUAGGAUUUUCCUGCCCCCAUUUUAUAGUCAGAGGGAGCAAUCUGCUCAGAUCUCACAGUGAAGGCAGGACAUCACCCCCCCUGCCCUGUGCUUCCAGUGGCUCUUGCUGAGGCAUAAUGCACUUUAGCCUGUCCUACGGUCACCAUUUGUCCUAGUUUGCCCAGGACUGGUGGGGGUCCCAGGACACAGGAUGCUAAAACCAGGAACAUCCCAGGCAAACCCUGAGUUGGGUCAACCUAGCCUGUCCCCAGAAUAGCAAUGUGGGUCAGAGGUUACCAGCCUCCCAUCCAGCUCUGGACUUUGCUGCCCAUGGUAGCUGAAAAUGAACAAGGUGCCAUCUGACACGAAAAGAAGCUGGGUAUCAAGGGUCAGGCUGCUAUGAAAAGCCUCCCGAGGUGCCCUGCCCCAUUUUUAGCAGCUCUGCUCCAUUCUUUCAGUUCUCUCUCCUCUCAACUAUAAGCCUUGGUACAAAGCAAGAGAAAAUAAGGGGAGUGGGAAAGAUGGUUCUAAGGUUCCUUUCAGACAGCCCAUAUCCUGGGAUUCUGUUAACAUUCCCAUGAAUCCAGAGACUCCCUGUGUUCCUCCUGGACUCUGGAUUUUUCUCUGUCGAGGAAGUCUGAGCAAAACUUCCCUGAGACUCAAAAGCCAACAGGAGGCUGGCCAUACCAUCCCCCAGGGGCCAAAUGACAGGUCACUCUAAAGACACUGAAGUUUGCCUUAGGUAUCACUGAGAUGGCCUCCCCUGUUUCCUGGCCUGUUUUCCAGAGUUGGUUUCUUGCAUAAUUGAUAGAGAUAGAAGGGAGUAAACCACCUUGUCUGCUGACAGCCUGAGAAGUCAUUUGCAAGGGCAAGUAGGUUAGGUGCUUUGAGGACAAGGUUCUUAGGGCCAAGGCAUCUCCAUCCAUUGGAGCAUUGAAGCCCCUCCCAUCAAGAGCUGCUUUAUUCCAAGGAAUUCCCCAGGACCGUGUGGGAAGACAGCCCCAGCUGACACCAUAGGGCACCCUCAAGACCUUCCUGUUGAGCUUCUGCUAGUCUUGAUACAAAAAAACAAAAUCAUUAGGAAUGAUUCCCUCAUUCCAGCAUAACCUUCUCUGGGGAGAUUCUAGCCCCUAAAUUACCAAUCCAAGGAUGAGAAGCAUCUGUAAUCCCUGCUCCUUAGACAAAAGGGCCUUGAGGAGCCACUUGGGAGGAGACUGACACUUAAGAGAGAGAGAGAGAGAGAGAGAUGGUUGAAUCAGGCUCCAUCCUCAACUAUGGACCCAGAAGGGCCUGUGAAGUUCAACAACAAACAUGCUGCUGUUCACAAGCCAGGAGCUGUGGCUGGCCACCAGAGAAUUCCUGCCAGGAAUGGAAUCUGGAACAGACUCUACAGUCAACCAUUCCCAGAUCGGAGGAACUAGAGGCCUUGGACACUAGCACCAUCGUCUCUAAUGUGGGAAGGUCUGUUGGCCACUCAGCCUGGAGGACAGGCUGGGGAAAGCCUAGCACUCUCAUGGUUUGUGAGGAGUCCCUGGCCCACCUCCAUGACACCGCACUUCCAAAGAGCCAGAGAAGACCAGCAGGCCCAGCUGGUCUCUCCCCAGCUUCUUUUCCCAGCUUCUGGGGAGCAGCUCUGCCGCCGAACAGGGCUGGAGAGCUGCAAUUAUCCAGACAGGAUAAGAGCUAUUUUGGGAAGGAGCCGUUCUGCUGCCAAGGCUUUUGACUUUCUAAACUAAAACAAGAUGCACAAAGAAAGGGGGUGAGGAUGGGGGAGAAAAGGGAAGAACUUUCUCAGUCAAAACCGUCAUAUCCAGAAUGAGGGAAAACACUAACCCCUUCCCAAAGGUAAGAGACUAGCUAUUAAGAUAUCUCUAGCUUUGAGAAGGCGAGUGUAACCUGACCAACCCCCCCCCCAACACACACACAUCCCCUAAUGACUCCUUCUCUCCUAAGUUCCUCCAAGAGCACAUAUUCAGUCUGUUGCAUUUAUUUGGACAUUUGAGCACAAACUAUUUCAUAUUGUUGUUUAAAUGUUUCCUGUCCAUGUCUUAUCUCCCCAACCAGAUGGUAAGUUUCUCAUGGCCAAAGAAUGUGUGUGCUCUGAGGCUUCAAUGCUCUCUCCAGUAGUGCCUAGCAGAGUGCUAGGUAUCUGAAUGAAGUUGUUUAUGAAAGGAAGGGAGAGAGGGAGGAAGGAAGGAAGAGCAAAAGGAAAGAGGGAGAGAAGGAUUUACUGUCUCUCGUGGAGGUGAUCUCUAAAUGUAGUUGUUCCCACCCACAGUUGAGCUUAGGGCAUGGGGCUGAAUAAGAAGCCAUGGCAGAGGGAGUGGCAGCCACAUUUUUGGCACCUCCCCUUCAGCUGUUCCAUCAUCUGAGCUCAGGCUGUCCUGCUCCACCUCCUUUAUUUGUUUUCUAUCUGUAAUUAACUGUCCAUUCUGGGCUAACCUAUGGAUGGGACCCAUUAAAAGCCAUGCUAGGCUCUAGGUAAGGGAGAGAUAGGGUAAGAGAAAGAAUGGAGGCAGGAAGAGCUCAGACUAUCUUAUCAAACAUGGGCCAAGAAGAACUAAAGUAGUUAUAGGAAUAAUGCACUCUGAAAUCAGGACACUCUUUGCCAAAUUCAGGACACAGGGCUGCUGAGAGCAGAGUUUACCUUGUGCCUUUCCAAGUUGAGGACUCAAAUAGUGUGUAACCCAGAAAAGUGUUCCCUUUCUGGAUUGCCCUAGGCUGAAGAGGGGAGAGCCAAGUGGGGGCUGAUCCAAUGUAUGGUUUCCCAGACAGCUUUUAGAUCACCUUUGUGCAAAUCUCCUCCUGGGGAGAUGCAGCUCCCCCCACCCCGCCAAGUGCACAGCAUGGCAAGUAGAACACAGGCUAGAUUUCAGCCCCCACUUGCCCUCUCUGCUAGGUACCCUUGUGCAAUGAACAACUUGCCCAACUAUAGGGAGAGUUCUGUCUGUCUCCCUCCAUUCCUGCUUCCAUAAGAGGUUAAGAGAGGGACUUGGAUAAGGGGGAGCAUGGGAAGACUGGAAGUAACUUCCCAGGGGUGUUCUUACCUCCUCAUCUGUCAUAAUGGAGAAGUAGAAGUCAGGCAUUCCCAAGGGACGGCAAAUGGAAUUCAGAGAGUACCAACAGGAAGGGAAAAAGAGAAUUUUACUAAAGAUCUCCAGUGGACUUUGGCAUAACCUGGCCCAACAUCCUUUCUAGUGAAAGUGGCCCAAAUAGCAACAGCUAGUAAAUUUACAGCAGUAAAUACUGAGGACUCACUGUUACCAGGCACCAUGCUAAGUGCUGUACAUGUAGUAGCUUGGUUAGUCCUCUUAUAAACCCUAGAGGUAGCCAUUGUUCCCACUGACAGUUGGGGCAACUAACAAUUGGAAAAAUAAAAUAACUUACCCAAGGUCACAGUGAAAAAAUACUAGACACAGGACUCAAACCUAAUACUAUAACUCCAGAGUCCACACUACUAAACUUCAGCUUUAUAGAGCUUUGCUCUCUCUGCGGGGCAGGGACAACUUUCUCUGCUCUUUGCUGCCAAUUUGAUAGCUCAUGCGGUUGGGACUGGAUUGCAUUCACAGGACUCUCUCCUCCCUAGGGACUUCCUCAUCCAGAGCCCUGGCCUCCCUCAUGCUCACAGGAAUAAAGCAUAUCUUGGGCCACAACAUUCAAGGCAGAAACUCUUUGUUACUAAUAUUCACUAUACGAGGGUUGGUCCCCUCUCUCUCCACCAGAGAGGUCAAGAGUACAAAGGGGGGGAGGGUGUCACGAGGCCCUGGGGAUACUUAAGGAUUCUAGAGUUGGCUACAGGACCCACUGAUGGCCUCAAGACAGAGGCCUGGAAAUCCCUGGAGAUUGUGCCUGGGAAGCAGCCAAUAAAUACCUCCCAAGUCUGGGCAAGGGGGCUUGAGGAGAGUUCUGACACAAGACCCAAGAGGAGACCCAUCAACCUACAUUAGGGCGGGGUAAACCCUGAGUAAAACUGUGAAACAGGUAGUUUGUCUUGGUGACUUUUUUUGGGGGGGGGAGGAGGGGGUUAAAAAUCACGAGAGGUAAGACUAGCUAAACUGAAAGGCAUAGGCUUAAAUUGUUCUCCAUUUCAGAAAUGACUACUUCCCAUUGAAAGGAGGCUCUCGAAAAUGAAAAAGGUUCCAAGUCCCAAAGGAAUGACUCUAAUAGUGGAAUUAUAGUCAACCCUCUAGUAUGUGUGGUGCUAAUAGACCUAGCUCUGUAGAUACAUAGCGGUCAUCCUUCCACCUGUCCUCCUGCCUCCCAAACUCCAACAACAGACCCACAGGAGGGAAAAUCACAGACCUUUUAGCCACCAGAUGACACGAUUAUACAUUUCCUCAGACACAUCUGAAAGUAACAGAAAUUGUUGCUCUUUUUCACUGUGGGAUGUAUACCUCUCUCCCCACUACUUAACAUUUCCCUUUUAGGCUCUACAUUUCUCCAUCCAAAGGUGCCCUCAGCCCUUGAUCCUCUCCAAGAAGCCCCUGCAGUCUAGGACUAAAUCCUGCCCCACCCUUUUCUCCACCCUCUGUGCCACUGUUAAUGCCUUUCCCCUCUUGGAAGUCUAGGUCCUAGCGUAUCUGUGCUUCACCUUCUCCACUUUGUUGUCAGAAUAUUUACCUGAGAACCUUAUUUUCUUUACUAGCCCUAACCAGCCCUAGUCCCAACUCAGUUCUUUAUCUCCAUUCUUGAGAAGCGCUUCCUACCCUGAAAACCACUCUCUAUUACUUUCCAUUGAAAGGUUAAGCAGCGUUGCCUGGAAGAAUCAAUGCCUGAUGCCUGCCCAAGCAUCGUUAUUGAUGUCAUUAGCUUGGAGCUCAAAAAAGCUGGCAGGGAAGGAAUGGGGCAACAGGCUCAAGGUUUAGCUUGAGCACUGGCAGGAGAGCAGCUCUGAGGCCCAGAAUGAAGAAGGGGACUGACUUUCCUACCCACCCCAAUGUCGCACCUCACUAAAUUGGGGCUGCACCUGGGCAGUCUGCUUCUUCACAUACCCAAGAAGAAAGCACUAAACCUUUGAAUGGGUUGUUUGGAGGUCUGCUUGAGGGCUUGUGGCAUUUCCCUCAAUGGUGCCUGGUUUGGAGACUCCUUUGGUGGUGAUAGUGGUGGUGGUGUUGCUGAUGGUGGUGGUGAUGGACUUGCCUUCUCUCUCUGGAACAUCAUUUCCUCACAGAAAGGACUUGAGUCCAUUUCAAAAAAGGACAAUAAAGGGUCUGGGGGAAGAGGGGACUUAGACUCAAAAUCAGGUGUUGUCGGCCGGCUUUGGGAUGUUUCAACUUCAGGAUUGAGUAAGGCCCACCAUGAACAGUCAGGUCCAUACCUAGGUAAGGCCCGAGGGGGUAAGGGCCGAGGGGUCAGUUCCAGUUCUGCAUGGACCGAGGGCUUUGGGGAGGGUUCUGGAUACCUGAGUGCAGGUCCUGGGGACAUGCAGACACUUUCUGAGGGUCUUUGGGUGUGCUGCUUAUAGCUGGGUUCUGGAGUGACAAACAUAGAUUUGUGGGGGUUCUCAGACACUGCUCGAGAUGUCACACGGGGAGCUGAGUAUAACUGUUCUGCUGAAGAGAUGGUGACCCUGCGGCUGACCUCGCCAUCUCCUCUAGUUGAGGACCUCAGGUUGGACUCUACUUCUGAUGAUAUUAAGUUCUUUGGGGAGGUCUUGGUGUCAGUGUAGACAGACUGCUUAGGGAUAGUCUCAGGAUCUGAACGCCUAGAAACUCGGUGUCCACCACUCAAAUCCUUUAGUAUAGAGAGUCUGAGGGAUGAUUCCAAGUUCAUAUUCCUAUGCAAAGUCUUGGGUUCUGUGUAAAUUGGGCUGGGAUGACUCAUUUCACACUCUUGGCCAGGGAUCUUUCUUUGGGCUGUCCGAGAGUCUGCACUGACUCGGCCAUUGCUAUGUUCUGGGCUAGAAGGUCUUCUUGGAGAUCUGAUCUCAGUAGCAGUCAAACCCUUUUGGAUGGGUUCAGUUUGGACUGCUUCAUCCUUUGGGUAAACCAAAGUCCUACGGGGAACUCUGACCCCUUGUGGGUACUGGACCUUGGAGGGUGGGUCUUCUUGCAAGAUUUGUAAGUUAUCCUUCUGGUCUACAAAACUCAACCGGCGAGAGGAUUUGGCAUCAGGGGUUAAUGAGUAGCGAUUACUGAUGUCACGCCCUGGCUUGCUCUCACCCCCUCUUCGUGCUGAUUCCUCUCUGGAUGGGCUAACAUUCCGUUGCGUCUGGACAGCAUGGGAAGCUGAUGUUUGAGUUUGCUGGAUCUUUCGAUGAAUAGAGGGAUGGCGGUAUGAUUCUGAUUUUGAUUGGGCCUCGCUUCCUCGAGGGAUGGGUGUUCCACUGGGCCCUGACUGGGGGGAGAUAGAACGUGGAUAGUCUGAUGCUGAAUGGAAAGAGGGGAGAUGCCCAGCUUCUGAUCUUCGAUGGGGCGAAGGACUUCGGGGGGCUGCAGCGGUUCGUGAGCUCGAGGCAAUCAUAUAUCCUUGUCCCCGCUGAGGGGUUGUGUUAGUAACCUCAGACCCUUUCUGUGCUGAAACUGCUACCUUGGACCCAGUUUUAUUUGUCUUGACCAUCCGAUAGACUGAGCUCCUCUGGGUAGAUCCCAUAUUUUACUGGCUGGCUUGUAUUGAGGAUCCUAAUGAAGUCUGAAUGUUUACCCUUGGCUUUAAAAGCUGCUGCUCUUGUACUCCCACAAA